AACGAACGCUGGCGGCAGGCCUAACACAUGCAAGUCGAACGCCCUAGCAAUAGGGAGUGGCAGACGGGUGAGUAACGCGUGGGAACCUUCCCUGUGGUGCGGAAUAACUCGCCGAAAGGCGUGCUAAUACCGCAUAAGCCCGCAAGGGGAAAGAUUUAUCGCCAUAGGAUGGGCCCGCGUAGGAUUAGCUAGUUGGUGAGGUAAUGGCUCACCAAGGCGACGAUCCUUAGCNGGUUUGAGAGAAUGACCAGCCACACUGGGACUGAGACACGGCCCAGACUCCUACGGGAGGCAGCAGUGGGGAAUCUUGGACAAUGGGCGCAAGCCUGAUCCAGCCAUGCCGCGUGAGUGACGAAGGCCUU
This 362-nucleotide ribosomal RNA is filed under the name uncultured bacterium. Its description in RNAcentral is "bacterial SSU rRNA". It matches the Rfam family "Bacterial small subunit ribosomal RNA", at positions 29 to 418 of the family's 1533-position model. The record is from RNAcentral.